GACUCGAUUUGCGACAAUGAAGUGUUUUGGGAGUAGGGGCUCCGUCGAGGCUAGCGGCUACUGGUGCCAAGUGAGUGGCGGAUCCACCAGGUGUUCACCUCGAAGUCGUUCGUGAAUUGGUUGAUGGAGGUCUUUGUUGAAGUUGUUGUUAUCUUUGUUUCUUUGCAGGUUUGUUUUGACAGUAGCUGCUUUGGCAGUAGCAGCAUGCUCGCAUCAACUUGAACAGUAGCAGCGUCUUAACAUUAGAGUCUGUAGUAGCAGCGGGCUAGCAUCACCGUCGGUAGCAGAAAAUGUAGCAAAGCAUCGAUAGUAGCAUCAAAAUUGCUGAAAAAAAUUGCAAUAGCAUUGCCAGUAGCACUUGGGUAUCGGUAGUAGCACAUUCUUACUUGACAGUAGCACAUAGCACAUUUCUGGUCGACAAUAACAGUAGAAUUUGUAGUGAAUGGUAUUCUGGUAAAAUUAU
RNAcentral lists this long non-coding RNA (463 nucleotides) under Fragaria vesca (wild strawberry). RNAcentral's name for it is "long non-coding RNA (FVES_LNC001854)". Lineage: Eukaryota; Viridiplantae; Streptophyta; Magnoliopsida; Rosales; Rosaceae. The record is from RNAcentral.